GCUAAUAUGUACUAAAUGAAGUAUAAAAGAAUCAGAUCAUGUCUACACAUAUAACAUUUGAAUGUUGAUAUCUUUGUUGCUAUCUAUGAAAGACUGAGGUAUUUACUACCAAAAUAGAAUGGUUCUCUUUUUCUAUCUUGUAGAAAAGAAGUUAGGAUAAUGGAAAUAAUUUUCUCAAUUUACAUAUUUUCCUCAUUAAUCACUCUGAAACAUUUGACUUCUACUGCUUAUAAUAGAAUCUGAUACAAGAAAACAACAGCUUUGCAAAAAUGUAGCUGUUAUACCUUGCAGAAUAUACAGGCUUGAGCUCAUUGCCACCAAAUGCCUACAAAAAUCAUGACUUAGAGCAUCUUGUAUUCACAAUAGGAGCCAUGGUCUGAAGGAAAACUACACUACAGCCUGGAAAGUCUACCUUUGGCCUAGCUAGACCAGUAGGGAGCCAAGCAGUUGACCACAGAAGAGUGACCUCUGAAGACUUGCUUUACUGAAUGGUGCUUUGGUGGAAGUCUUCAACUUCUGAGGGCUGCACAGGGAACAGACAAUGCUGCUCUUGCUAAAGGCAUGGUGCACAUUACAUAGUGACCUCUUUCUAUGGACCUUUGGGAGAAAUUUAUUUUUAAUUUUAGUCUCAAGGAAAGUGUGCUGCUUUUGAAUAGUUUUGGGGACAUUGUACUAUAUAACUAAUAAGGUUUUUCUUUCUGCAUUGGCUAGUAAAAAUCCUCAGUUGACCCCAAGUUCAUUCAGAGCAAGAUCAAGGACAUAAUGGCAAGCAUUUUCAUGGUGGCCUCUUUCUACUCCUUGUUUAUGUUUCUAUCUCUAGUUUUGCUUUUUCUCCUACUUUAGCAUAUGUUAUCA
Molecule: long non-coding RNA, 855 nt
Filed under: Marmota monax (woodchuck)
Lineage: Eukaryota; Metazoa; Chordata; Mammalia; Rodentia; Sciuridae
Source: RNAcentral